AUCAAAUUUGAGCUAUAGUUAAGGGACUCAAAGUGAACUUAUUCCACACCCCUUGUUGGGCUUACAAAAGCUUUUGAGGUGGGCCGGUUUUCAGGAUCGAAGAUUCGUCCGAUUGAGCCCAUUACACCAGACGAGGAAAAGGCCAGCUCUCUCGAGCCUCCGCCCUCCAGUCCUCCACGAUCCAGCCGCCGUCGCCGCCGCGCGCCAUGGCUAGCGCCGCCCUCUCGCCAUCCUCUCCGUCCCCACGCUCCGGCCACAGAUGGCUACUACAUUCCACCCGACCAAACUUCGGUCUGCUCGGGCGGGCAGCGUGGAUCCGCUUGAUCGGUCAGCUCUGCAUCCUUACAAGUUACAACCCCCAAUCGGAGGAAGGCGGCAGCACCAGCUCCAGCAGCGAUGGCCCAAUGGGAGACGAUUGAAAUGACGAGGCAGCGCGAGAUUCCAAGCCUUUGCUAGUCCCUACUCUCGUCGUCCCCUUCAUCAGCCACAACACAGUCAACUCAAUCCCCCCUCUCCUCGUUCCAGGUGAGUUAAACAUGCCUGGAUGCUGAUAUGUGAAGGUGUCCCAGAUGCUUGGUCCUCUGCCCCCCUCUGCUGCUCCACCCUCGCACUGCAUGUGUGAAGCAACGGCCGAUUCUUCAGGAAGAAUGAUGCGGAAGGGAAGCCUAACCUGAUAGGACGCGGAGGACGUCCCGAAGAUGAACCCCUUGGGGAAGCUUCUCCGGCUAAUCGGCGGCAGCUCGCCGGCUUCGACGCAGGCGGCAGCUAGGAGGAGGAGGAGGAGGAGGAGGAGGAGGAGAAUACCGCCGGACAUCGCCACUGCCCCGGCAACCGCCAUCUGAACGAAGCUUGACCUGCAAU
Long non-coding RNA from Oryza sativa Japonica Group (Japanese rice), 861 nucleotides. RefSeq lists it as uncharacterized. The record is from RefSeq and is a predicted model, not a curated record. NCBI's taxonomy places the organism in Eukaryota, Viridiplantae, Streptophyta, Magnoliopsida, Poales, Poaceae.